RNAcentral lists this ribosomal RNA (253 nucleotides) under uncultured bacterium. Its description in RNAcentral is "partial 16S ribosomal RNA". It matches the Rfam family "Bacterial small subunit ribosomal RNA", at positions 524 to 776 of the family's 1533-position model. The record is from RNAcentral.
UACAGAGGUGGCAAGCGUUGUUCGGAAUUACUGGGCGUAAAGGGCGCGUAGGCGGCCUUCUAAGUCGGACGUGAAAUCCCUCGGCUCAACCGAGGAACUGCGUCCGAUACUGGCAGGCUGGAAUCCGGGAGAGGGAUGUGGAAUUCCAGGUGUAGCGGUGAGAUGCGUAGAUAUCUGGAGGAACACCGGUGGCGAAGGCGGCAUCCUGGACCGGUAUUGACGCUGAGGCGCGAAAGCUAGGGGAGCAAACGGG